GGUUUCCGACUGGUGGAAAAAAAAAAGCAGCUGUUUUGUGGUCAUCAUUACUGUUCUAAAAUACCUAAGGACACAAGGUAAAACUGAUGCUGACUGAUUGCCAUGACCCAGAUGGAUUUGAUCAGAGACGUGUUCGCAUACCACGUUUGCACCACCAGUCCACUUUGCCCAAAGGUUCUUCUUGAUACCGAAAUCCUCAAAAAUUAAGGAAAAAAAUGCUACUAAAACACUGUCUUUAAUCUGGGGAAGAAAUUUGCCUUUGGCUGACCUGUGUACAAAACAAAUCACACCUAGCAAAUUAUAUCUGUUAGUGAAGUUCUUUAAAAUGGUCCUGACCAUUGUCAUUCCCA
This is a long non-coding RNA of Tachyglossus aculeatus (Australian echidna), 350 nucleotides long. RefSeq lists it as uncharacterized. Lineage: Eukaryota; Metazoa; Chordata; Mammalia; Monotremata; Tachyglossidae. The transcript is spliced from 2 exons. The record is from RefSeq and is a predicted model, not a curated record.